This 320-nucleotide ribosomal RNA is filed under the name uncultured eukaryote. RNAcentral describes it as "partial 18S ribosomal RNA". It matches the Rfam family "Eukaryotic small subunit ribosomal RNA", at positions 1470 to 1796 of the family's 1831-position model. The record is from RNAcentral.
CCCCUAGAUGUUCUGGGCCGCACGCGCGCUACACUGAACAGUUCAACAAGUCUUAACCUUGGCCGAUAGGUCUGGGUAAUCUUUGAACGCUGUUCGUGAUUGGGAUAGACCUUUGCAAUUAUGGGUCUUCAACGAGGAAUUCCUAGUAAACGCAAGUCAUCAGCUUGCAUUGAUUACGUCCCUGCCCUUUGUACACACCGCCCGUCGCACCUACCGAUUGAAUGGUCCGGUGAAAUCUCGGGACGGCGGCUUGGUCGCUUGCGUCCGACUGCUGAAACUUGAUUAAACCAUAUCAUUUAGAGGAAGGUGAANUCGUAACG